UACAGAGGUCCCGAGCGUUGUUCGGAUUCACUGGGCGUAAAGGGUGCGUAGGUGGCAUAGAAAGUUUGAUGUGAAAGCUCAGGGCUUAACCCUGAAAUGGCAUUGAAUACUGCUGUGCUGGAGGUUUGGAGGGGGGACUGGAAUUCUUGGUGUAGCAGUGAAAUGCGUAGAUAUCAAGAGGAACACCAGUGGCGAAGGCGAGUCCCUGGACAAUACCUGACACUGAGGCACGAAAGCCAAGGGAGCAAACAGG
RNAcentral lists this ribosomal RNA (253 nucleotides) under uncultured bacterium. RNAcentral describes it as "partial 16S ribosomal RNA". It matches the Rfam family "Bacterial small subunit ribosomal RNA", at positions 524 to 776 of the family's 1533-position model. The record is from RNAcentral.